GUCGCGUCAACUGUGUUUACGAGUGUCUUGUGUUCAGAUUGUUUUAAGUGAUAAUUUAACAAUAUUUUUCCAAAUAAAUGGAAAGAACCUUUUAUUUAUAUCAAAUAAUUGAGUGUCUCGACUGUGUGACAUUAUGUCUUGUGUGGUAUGGGGCUGCAGCUCACAUUCAGGAAGAAAAGAAAAUAGCCAACAACUUCUGUCGUUUCAUCGAUAUUAAAUCCAAAAGUGUCGACUGGAUUUACAUGAAAAGUCAGUUCAAGAAGACGAGAUGAAAAAUUUAAAAGAAAAGCUGAACAAGUCCCGCCUCAAGAUCAAACGACUUAAAAAAAAAAAAAAAAACAAUGUGACAGGGUGUCACAAAGACAGUUUCUAAGCAAAUUGACACUGUUUAGAAAUUAAUAAAUUUGUAUUUAUUGUAAA
Pectinophora gossypiella (pink bollworm) is the source of this 420-nucleotide long non-coding RNA. RefSeq lists it as uncharacterized. The record is from RefSeq and is a predicted model, not a curated record. Lineage: Eukaryota; Metazoa; Arthropoda; Insecta; Lepidoptera; Gelechiidae. The transcript has 3 exons.